UCUCAGUUCGGAUUGGAGUCUGCAACUCGACUCCAUGAAGCUGGAUUCGCUAGUAAUCGCGCAUCAGCCAUGGCGCGGUGAGUACGUUCCCGGGCCCUUGUACACACCGCCCGUCAAGCCAUGGAANCCGGGGGUGCCUGAAGUGCGUGACCGCAAGGAGCGCCCUAAGGUAAAACCGGUGACUGGGGCUAAGUCGUAACAAGGUACC
This 208-nucleotide ribosomal RNA is filed under the name uncultured bacterium. RNAcentral describes it as "partial 16S ribosomal RNA". It matches the Rfam family "Bacterial small subunit ribosomal RNA", at positions 1286 to 1500 of the family's 1533-position model. The record is from RNAcentral.